This 1653-nucleotide long non-coding RNA is filed under the name Nicotiana benthamiana. RNAcentral describes it as "long non-coding RNA (NBEN_LNC014299)". Lineage: Eukaryota; Viridiplantae; Streptophyta; Magnoliopsida; Solanales; Solanaceae. The record is from RNAcentral.
GCCUUUGACGGGUAAGCAAUACUCAGAGAAGGUGGCAGAAAAUUGUGUUGCCCAUUGGAAAGCAAUAGGAACCUACACCGAUGCAGAGAGUCAGGCCAUUGAAGAGUUCCUCAACAUUUUCCAGAAUGAAACCUUCCCGCUGGGUGCCUCCAUCCUUUUUACUCAAUCAAUGCAGAGAGUCAGGCCAUUGAAAAGUUCCUCAACAUUUUCCAGAAUGAAACCUUCCUGCCUGGUGCCUCCAUCCUUUUUACUCAAUCACCUGUUGGGGCAUUGACGGUAUGUAGGAUCCAGUGUUAAAAAUAGCGUGAAGCGAGGAAAAGUGACAACCCCCAUUUCACAAGAAGCAAGAAGCGAGAAGCGAAUCGCUUGCUUUUUUAAAGUGAAGUGGAAUUUAAAAAAAAAUUUAAAAUAAAUACAGCAUAGACAACACAUAUAAUUGUAAGCAAAUGUUCAAUACUUGAAUUAAAAAACUAAAGAGUAGCAUCAAUUAAAGCACAAAAUGAGCAUCCCAUUAAAAUAUCAACUACAUAACAUAUAAAAAACACAAUAAGAACGAAGAAUAAAAUAUAUAUAAUUGGGCAGAAUGUGGGCAGAAACGGGGUAGAAUUUUUCUGAAAAAAUUUGCCAACAUUUUGGCGCUUUUGGACAUUUAGAAAGAAGAAGAAGAACCCUUUGCUUGAAACUUGAAAGCUGUUGUUGUAAUGUUGAAGAAGAAGAACCCUUUGCUUGAACAAAUCGUGCUUUAUGCGAGGAAGAAAUAGCUGGUUUUUUGAGGAAGAAAAGGCUGGUUUAGAACUCUAGUUUGAAGAAGUAUCUAAAACAGAAGACUCAAUAAUUUGGGUUUUUUAAUUGAAAAAGACUCGUUUGCGCCUUUCAAUUCAAGAAGCGAUCGCUUCUUCCCCUCUUGACCACUUCACCGCUUAUCGCUUUUUAGAGAGAAGCGGUUGCUUUUCUAUUCCUAAGCCGCUUUUAGUUGGAGUAGCGACAAACCCAUCGCUCCGCUUCGUUUCUCGCUUAAAGUGAGGAAGCGGAUGCUUUUUUUAACACUGAUAUGAUCAAUUGUAUAGAGCGAUAAUAAAAAUUAGACAUUUGCAUCACCUGAUAGGAUCCUUUUGACAAUAUUUAUGCACCAAAAAGAUGAACAAGAUUUAUCUGUAGGCUCAUUGAUGUUCCUUCUUUAUUUCUUUGUCCGGGUCCAGAUUAGCUUCAUUAAAGAUGAUUCAAUUACUGGCACUGGAAAUGCUGUUAUAGAGAACAAACAAUUGUCUGAAGCAGUACUGGAAUCGAUAAUUGGCAAACAUGGAGUUUCCCCUGCAGCUAAGUGCAGUAUCGCCGAAAGAGUGUCAGAACUAUUCAAAAAGAGCUACGCCGAUGCGUCGGUUUGUGAAAAACCAGGAAUUGAGAAAUCCUCCGAUCCAGUGAUUGAGGAGAAACCUACCAUUCCAGAAAUUGGAGUCUAGUUAGGACAACAAAAAAAGGUUAUAGUGCUGAAACUCCUUUGUCAACUUAGCCUGAUGUUGUCAACUUUGCAUGAGUAUACUAGAGGAAUGAUUUAGCCUAGGGUUUUCUAGUUUCUCUACUAUGUAGUAGUAUUCAACAAGGUCCCAUCUUUGAAACUCUGUUUGAUAUGUAAUGUGGGAGGCUCUACGAUCC